CAGGCCUAACACAUGCAAGUCGAACGAGGCAGCGGCCUUCGGGCCGGUGUCGAGUGGCGAACGGGUGAGUAACACGUGAGGAACCUGCCCCGGAGACCGGGAUAACCAGGGGAAACUCUGGCUAAUACCGGAUGCCCUCGGAUGGUCGCAUGGCCAACCGAGGAAACGCUCCGGUGCUCCGGGAGGGCCUCGCGGCCUAUCAGCUUGUUGGUGGGGUAACGGCCCACCAAGGCAUCGACGGGUAGCUGGUCUGAGAGGACGAUCAGCCACACUGGGACUGAGACACGGCCCAGACUCCUACGGGAGGCAGCAGUGGGGAAUAUUGCGCAAUGGGCGAAAGCCUGACGCAGCAACGCCGCGUGGGGGAUGACGGCCUUCGGGUUGUAAACCCCUUUCAGCAGGGACGAAAAUGACGGUACCUGCAGAAGAAGCCCCGGCCAACUACGUGCCAGCAGCCGCGGUAACACGUAGGGGGCAAGCGUUGUCCGGAUUUAUUGGGCGUAAAGAGCUCGUAGGCGGUUGCGUAAGUCGGAUGUGAAAACUCAGGGCUCAACCCGGAGACGCCAUCCGAUACUGCGCUGACUAGAGUCCGGUAGGGGAGCAUGGAAUUCCUGGUGUAGCGGUGAAAUGCGCAGAUAUCAGGAGGAACACCAGUGGCGAAGGCGGUGCUCUGGGCCGGUACUGACGCUGAGGAGCGAAAGCGUGGGUAGCGAACAGGAUUAGAUACCC
RNAcentral lists this ribosomal RNA (729 nucleotides) under uncultured bacterium. Its description in RNAcentral is "bacterial SSU rRNA". It matches the Rfam family "Bacterial small subunit ribosomal RNA", at positions 43 to 787 of the family's 1533-position model. The record is from RNAcentral.